CCGUACACAAAAAUGCACAUGCUGUGAGCUCGAUGAGUAGGGCGGGACACGUGGUAUCCUGUCUGAAUAUGGGGGGACCAUCCUCCAAGGCUAAAUACUCCUGACUGACCGAUAGUGAACCAGUACCGUGAGGGAAAGGCGAAAAGAACCCCGGCGAGGGGAGUGAAAAAGAACCUGAAACCGUGUACGUACAAGCAGUGGGAGCACAGAGCAAUCUGUGUGACUGCGUACCUUUUGUAUAAUGGGUCAGCGACUUAUAUUCUGUAGCAAGGUUAACCGAAUAGGGGAGCCGAAGGGAAACCGAGUCUUAACUGGGCGUUAAGUUGCAGGGUA
This 333-nucleotide ribosomal RNA is filed under the name Escherichia coli. RNAcentral describes it as "bacterial LSU rRNA". It matches the Rfam family "Bacterial large subunit ribosomal RNA", at positions 373 to 709 of the family's 2925-position model. Lineage: Bacteria; Pseudomonadati; Pseudomonadota; Gammaproteobacteria; Enterobacterales; Enterobacteriaceae. The record is from RNAcentral.